GACGAACGCUGGCGGCGUGCUUAACACAUGCAAGUCGAGCGGUAAGGCCCUUUCGGGGGUACACGAGCGGCGAACGGGUGAGUAACACGUGGGUGACCUGCCCUUAGCUCUGGGAUAAGCCUGGGAAACUGGGUCUAAUACCGGAUAUGACUCCAUGACGCAUGUUGUGGGGUGGAAAGCCUUGUGCGGCUAGGGAUGGGCCUGCGGCCUAUCAGCUUGUUGGUGGGGUGAUGGCCUACCAAGGCGACGACGGGUAGCCGGCCUGAGAGGGCGGACCGGCCACACUGGGACUGAGACACGGCCCAGACUCCUACGGGAGGCAGCAGUGGGGAAUCUUGCGCAAUGGGCGAAAGCCUGACGCAGCGACGCCGCGUGGGGGA
This 380-nucleotide ribosomal RNA is filed under the name uncultured bacterium. RNAcentral's name for it is "bacterial SSU rRNA". It matches the Rfam family "Bacterial small subunit ribosomal RNA", at positions 28 to 408 of the family's 1533-position model. The record is from RNAcentral.